RNAcentral lists this ribosomal RNA (253 nucleotides) under uncultured bacterium. RNAcentral describes it as "partial 16S ribosomal RNA". It matches the Rfam family "Bacterial small subunit ribosomal RNA", at positions 524 to 776 of the family's 1533-position model. The record is from RNAcentral.
UACAGAGGUCCCAAGCGUUGUUCGGAUUCACUGGGCGUAAAGGGUGCGCAGGUGGGUUUGCAAGUUCGAUGUGAAAGCCCCGGGCUUAACCCGGGAAUGGCAUUGGAUACUGCAGAUCUGGAGGAUCGGAGGGGGGACUGGAAUUCUUGGUGUAGCAGUGAAAUGCGUAGAUAUCAAGAGGAACACCAGUGGCGAAGGCGGGUCUCUGGGCCGAUACUGACGCUGAGGAGCGAAAGCGUGGGGAGCGAACAGG